Molecule: ribosomal RNA, 484 nt
Filed under: uncultured bacterium
Lineage: Bacteria
Description: partial 16S ribosomal RNA
Rfam family: Bacterial small subunit ribosomal RNA
Source: RNAcentral
GACGAACGCUGGCGGCGUGCUUAACACAUGCAAGUCGAACGAUGAAGCCGGAGCUUGCUCUGGUGAAUUAGUGGCGAACGGGUGAGUAACACGUGAGUAACCUGCCCUUGACUCUGGGAUAACUGCGGGAAACUGUAGCUAAUACCGGAUACGACCCUCGGAGGCAUCUCCUGGGGGUGGAAAGAAUUUCGGUCAAGGAUGGACUCGCGGCCUAUCAGCUAGUUGGUGGGGUAAAGGCUCACCAAGGCGACGACGGGUAGCCGGCCGGAGAGGGUGCCCGGCCACACGGGGACUGGGACACGGCCCAGACUCCUACGGGAGGCAGCAGUGGGGAAUAUUGCACCAUGGGCGCAAGCCUGAUGCAGCAACGCCGCGUGAGGGAUGACGGCCUUCGGGUUGUAAACCUCUUUUAGCAGGGAAGAAGCGAAAGUGACGGUACCUGCAGAAAAAGCACCGGCUAACUACGUGCCAGCCGCCGCAGUAA